ACGGGAUUUGUAUGGUGCUUGCACCAUGUAAUGAGAGUAGCGCACUGGUGAGUAACACGUGGGAACAUACCUUGAAGUGGGGGACAACAGUUGGAAACGACUGCUAAUACCGCAUAAUCCCUGAGGGGGAAAGAUUUAUCGCUUUAAGAUUGGCCCGCGGAAGAUUAGGUAGUUGGUGGGGUAAAGGCCUACCAAGCCGACGAUCUAUAGCUGGUCUGAGAGGACGAACAGCCACAUUGGAACUGAGACACGGUCCAGACUCCUACGGGAGGCAGCAGUGAGGAAUAUUGGGCAAUGGAGGAAACUCUGACCCAGCCAUGCCGCGUGAGUGAAGAAGGUUUUCGAAUUGUAAAGCUCUUUCGGAUGGGACGAUGAUGACGGUACCAUCUAAAGAAG
This 396-nucleotide ribosomal RNA is filed under the name uncultured bacterium. RNAcentral describes it as "bacterial SSU rRNA". It matches the Rfam family "Bacterial small subunit ribosomal RNA", at positions 66 to 490 of the family's 1533-position model. The record is from RNAcentral.